GAAUAUUCUUGUAACAAUGACUGACAAAAUUGAUAAAAUUUUGCAAGAAUUGGGAUUAGAUGAAUAUAUCGAAGCCUUCGAAAUUACUGUAGAUGUACUUAAAUAUAUGAAUGAAAAUGAUAUGAAAAGAAUAUAUGAAAAGAAUUAAUACCCUUAAUUGGGCAUAGAGUGAUUUUUUUAAAUUUUUGGAAAAGCAAAUAUUGUACAUCUAGUACUUUUAAUCUUGAAGAAGAAAGUCAAAACAAUAACAGUAUUAAUUCAGAGAAGGAAAUUGAUAAUAUCUGUGUUUCUACAACCGAAAAAGAAAUUGCACUUACCAAAGGUGAUAAUCAUUUAAGAGAUCAACUGGAUGUAGUUUUAAUACCAUCCAUACAAGAAAUUUUAAGUAGCAACGUAGUAGGUGAAACAAUUGUCGAAAGAUAUCACAAAAAAAAUGAGUUAAAUCAGAAUAGUAGAAACUCACUAUGUGAUAUAAUAUCAUAUUUACAAAACAACAAAAUGAGAAGAAGUAAUAAAAUAAUAAGAUAUGUGGCUGAGAAAAUCGUACGAGAAUUUCCAACUGAAUCGCUUCACACAUACUAUAUUUCACCCGUUAAAAAAAAAAUUCAUCUAAAAACAAACCUAUCCCGGCUCGUGGAAAAUUAGUAAACCUAUGGCGGAAUCGUGAUUACCGUUUAAAAAUAUUUGCGUUACAAACAUCAGUUGACACUGAAGAUGACGAAUCAGAAAAUGAGAAUAAUGUGGACGAAACAAUCUAACAUAGUGUAGAAUGGAUGAAGAAGCAUCAAGCUCCUUGGGAAACUGUAAAAAUGCACUGGGACAUAACUUAUAACAUACGUUGCAAAGACAUGCAACAAUAUAAAGAUAAAGUUUUAAGUACUUUAUUUGAAAAGUGGCACAUUUUAAAGCACCCAUUAGGACAUGAACUUAUUGAUUUCGAUUUUAAAAAAAUGAAUCUGACACAAAUAUCAUUAAAUAUUGAAAUAUGGAAUACAUUUAUGACGGGUGUUCUGGAAUGUGUAACAGUAAAGGAAACAGACGAUACUGCGAUCGAUUUGUUUAACAAAUACAAAGACACACAAAACAAUGAUGAUACAAGAGUGGCUGCAAGCUUAAUGUUGUUGGCUCAUUUACUUCCUCCUCGCAAAAUGUUAAGACAUAAUAAACAAUGUUAUAAACCGUCAAUUGUGGAUGCCAAAAAGAGUAUUAUAAAACAUUUACAAGUUAGUUCAUCAUAAUAUAUUUAAUACUACAAAAACUGAAAAUGUGUAUUUGAAGCUUCUAGGUCCGAUCGUUGUCUGUUCUUGUUUAAUUAAAAGAAAGAAAUCACAUUUAAAAAUUCUUGUAUAAAAUUAGUGACAAGCGAUUUAGAUUUCUAACCCAUCUUUUC
This is a long non-coding RNA of Wasmannia auropunctata (little fire ant), 1390 nucleotides long. RefSeq lists it as uncharacterized. Lineage: Eukaryota; Metazoa; Arthropoda; Insecta; Hymenoptera; Formicidae. The transcript has 6 exons. The record is from RefSeq and is a predicted model, not a curated record.